Dipodomys spectabilis (banner-tailed kangaroo rat) is the source of this 106-nucleotide small nuclear RNA. NCBI's taxonomy places the organism in Eukaryota, Metazoa, Chordata, Mammalia, Rodentia, Heteromyidae. The record is from RefSeq and is a predicted model, not a curated record.
GUGCUCACUUCAGCAGCACAUGUACUAAAAUUGGAACGAUAUAGCGAAGAUUAGCAUGGCCCCUGCGCUUAUCAGACUAAUAUUCUACCACUUGAGCCAUGCCUUC